Molecule: ribosomal RNA, 497 nt
Filed under: uncultured bacterium
Lineage: Bacteria
Description: partial 16S ribosomal RNA
Rfam family: Bacterial small subunit ribosomal RNA
Source: RNAcentral
GAUGAACGCUGGCGGCGUGCCUAAUACAUGCAAGUCGAGCGAACAGACGAGGAGCUUGCUCCUCUGACGUUAGCGGCGGACGGGUGAGUAACACGUGGAUAACCUACCUAUAAGACUGGGAUAACUUCGGGAAACCGGAGCUAAUACCGGAUAACAUGUUGAACCGCAUGGUUCAACAGUGAAAGACGGUCUUGCUGUCACUUAUAGAUGGAUCCGCGCCGCAUUAGCUAGUUGGUAAGGUAACGGCUUACCAAGGCAACGAUGCGUAGCCGACCUGAGAGGGUGAUCGGCCACACUGGAACUGAGACACGGUCCAGACUCCUACGGGAGGCAGCAGUAGGGAAUCUUCCGCAAUGGGCGAAAGCCUGACGGAGCAACGCCGCGUGAGUGAAGAAGGUCUUCGGAUCGUAAAACUCUGUUAUUAGGGAAGAACAAAUGUGUAAGUAACUAUGCACGUCUUGACGGUACCUAAUCAGAAAGCCACGGCUAGCUACGUG